This 852-nucleotide ribosomal RNA is filed under the name uncultured bacterium. RNAcentral's name for it is "bacterial SSU rRNA". It matches the Rfam family "Bacterial small subunit ribosomal RNA", at positions 51 to 895 of the family's 1533-position model. The record is from RNAcentral.
ACACAUGCAAGUCGAGCAGUAGAGAGAAGCUUGCUUCUCUUGAGAGCGGCGGACGGGUGAGUAAUGCCUAGGAAUCUGCCUGGUAGUGGGGGAUAACGUUCGGAAACGGACGCUAAUACCGCAUACGUCCUACAGGAGAAAGCAGGGGACCUUCGGGCCUUGCGCUAUCAGAUGAGCCUAGGUCGGAUUAGCUAGUUGGUGAGGUAAUGGCUCACCAAGGCGACGAUCCGUAACUGGUCUGAGAGGAUGAUCAGUCACACUGGAACUGAGACACGGUCCAGACUCCUACGGGAGGCAGCAGUGGGGAAUAUUGGACAAUGGGCGAAAGCCUGAUCCAGCCAUGCCGCGUGUGUGAAGAAGGUCUUCGGAUUGUAAAGCACUUUAAGUUGGGAGGAAGGGCAGUUACCUAAUACGUGAUUGUUUUGACGUUACCGACAGAAUAAGCACCGGCUAACUCUGUGCCAGCAGCCGCGGUAAUACAGAGGGUGCAAGCGUUAAUCGGAAUUACUGGGCGUAAAGCGCGCGUAGGUGGUUAGUUAAGUUGGAUGUGAAAUCCCCGGGCUCAACCUGGGAACUGCAUUCAAAACUGACUGACUAGAGUAUGGUAGAGGGUGGUGGAAUUUCCUGUGUAGCGGUGAAAUGCGUAGAUAUAGGAAGGAACACCAGUGGCGAAGGCGACCACCUGGACUGAUACUGACACUGAGGUGCGAAAGCGUGGGGAGCAAACAGGAUUAGAUACCCUGGUAGUCCACGCCGUAAACGAUGUCAACUAGCCGUUGGGGAGCCUUGAGCUCUUAGUGGCGCAGCUAACGCAUUAAGUUGACCCGCCUGGGGGAGUACGGCCGCAAGGUU